CGGAUAGAGGCGCGGCAUACAUGCGUACCGCGGGACACCCGGCCCUGGCAGGCCGUCCCGUGGGAGAGGGUCUGCCGCCGAAGGUUUCCGUUUUGCCAGUGAACGGGGGCCUGGGCCGUGGGGAGAAUAUCCCCCGGACUGUCACAAUGCAGUGGAGCGCUAUCCA
This 166-nucleotide non-coding RNA is filed under the name uncultured Lawsonibacter sp. RNAcentral's name for it is "Lysine riboswitch". It matches the Rfam family "Lysine riboswitch aptamer". From Rfam's summary of the family: Riboswitches are metabolite binding domains within certain messenger RNAs that serve as precision sensors for their corresponding targets. Allosteric rearrangement of mRNA structure is mediated by ligand binding, and this results in modulation of gene expression. This family includes riboswitches that sense lysine in a number of genes involved in lysine metabolism, including lysC. Lineage: Bacteria; Bacillati; Bacillota; Clostridia; Eubacteriales; Oscillospiraceae. The record is from RNAcentral.